UGACAAUCUCUGGCUGUAAACACAGCUGAAAGUCACGCUAUGUCUGGAUACAUCUAUAGAAGACCAGCCACAUAUUAACAGUUGGUUAACAGAGGAUGUUUCUGAACGUCCUAAAGAAAAUUACAUCUGAGCAAAAGCCUGCUGCUGAGGACCUCUGUAUGGAGCCCCACAGGAAAAAGCAGGGAGCUUCAGAAGAACAGGGACUACACUGAGAGACGCUGGUGAGUCUCUGAGGCCCGGCUCUACAUCUGAAAGAGGCCACAACAUGCUUCUCAUAGAACAGAGGAGACCAAAGGUGUAACAGCAACAACAUUAAACAGUUGCACCAA
Long non-coding RNA from Pleuronectes platessa (European plaice), 329 nucleotides. RefSeq lists it as uncharacterized. Lineage: Eukaryota; Metazoa; Chordata; Actinopteri; Pleuronectiformes; Pleuronectidae. The record is from RefSeq and is a predicted model, not a curated record. The transcript has 2 exons.